This is a long non-coding RNA of Hippocampus zosterae (dwarf seahorse), 601 nucleotides long. RefSeq lists it as uncharacterized. The transcript is spliced from 2 exons. NCBI's taxonomy places the organism in Eukaryota, Metazoa, Chordata, Actinopteri, Syngnathiformes, Syngnathidae. The record is from RefSeq and is a predicted model, not a curated record.
GUGAUAAUGGAGGCUUCGACAGCCGGCACAAUGGCCGUUAUUGGAAGCGAGGGCCCCACUGGAAUGGAGCCACAUCUUUUCAGUUAUAUGCUCAGCACAGGUCCCGAUAAAGAAGCUUUCUUAUCCAAACCCGAAUUUGAUGUCACAUUAUUCGGACCACUCACAGACUGGUCAUUGGAGACUUCAAUGUUACUCCUAUAUCGGCUUCGCAAAACAACUCGACAUCUCCAGUACGUGAGACGCCAUCGUAAAACGAGGUCUUGUAAAGAAUUGGAAAAUAUCAUUUUAUUUAGUCAUCGAUGAUCGAACUAAUACCGCUUUUAAUUACAACACUUUGUUACAGCCGUGGUAAUUGUUCAAGUGCGAUAUGAAUUGAGUUGAGUUGUUUUAACUAUGACAUAUACAUUUUCAGAAGCAAUGCUCUAGCUAAACCUGUUCUUCAUAACUUCUAUUGAAAUGAUUCAUGGCUUGGCGACAAUUGCACUCCAACAUGUUUUUAAAGAACGGCAUGGCGGAUUGCAUCAGAUGCUCUGGCGGUGUUGCAUAUGGACACCGGGACAUAGGUUUGCUACCUUAAAAGUGAAAUAUUGUGACGACAAAC